RNAcentral lists this ribosomal RNA (586 nucleotides) under uncultured Gammaproteobacteria bacterium. RNAcentral's name for it is "partial 16S ribosomal RNA". The record is from RNAcentral. Lineage: Bacteria; Pseudomonadati; Pseudomonadota; Gammaproteobacteria.
CCAUAUGGUCGACCUGCAGGCGGCCGCGAAUUCACUAGUGAUUCGUAUUACCGCGGCUGCUGGCACAGAGUUAGCCGGUGCUUAUUCUGUCGGUAACGUCAAAACAGCAAAGUAUUAAUUUACUGCCCUUCCUCCCAACUUAAAGUGCUUUACAAUCCGAAGACCUUCUUCACACACGCGGCAUGGCUGGAUCAGGCUUUCGCCCAUUGUCCAAUAUUCCCCACUGCUGCCUCCCGUAGGAGUCUGGACCGUGUCUCAGUUCCAGUGUGACUGAUCAUCCUCUCAGACCAGUUACGGAUCGUCGCCUUGGUGAGCCAUUACCCCACCAACUAGCUAAUCCGACCUAGGCUCAUCUGAUAGCGCAAGGCCCGAAGGUCCCCUGCUUUCUCCCGUAGGACGUAUGCGGUAUUAGCGUCCGUUUCCGAACGUUAUCCCCCACUACCAGGCAGAUUCCUAGGCAUUACUCACCCGUCCGCCGCUCUCAAGAGAAGCAAGCUUCUCUCUACCGCUCGACUUGCAUGUGUUAGGCCUGCCGCCAGCGUUCAAUCUGAGCCAGGAUCAAACUCUAAUCGAAUUCCCGCGGCCG